This 377-nucleotide unclassified non-coding RNA is filed under the name uncultured fungus. Its description in RNAcentral is "sequence contains ITS1". Lineage: Eukaryota; Fungi. The record is from RNAcentral.
CGCAAGGUAUGGCGACCGUCGGAUAUGAUGACGAGGCCGUGCCCGGACAAAGCUGGCACUUGGUCAAGGAUGGUAUUUUCGUAGACUGGCAAACGACCCGCGACACGGCGAAGCUCGUUGGAAAGUCAAAAUCUUACGGCUGCCUCCACGCCGACAGUUGGAGUAGCGUGCCGUUCCCGCGUAUGCCAAAUGUUUCGCUCACGCCAGCGAAGGAAAAUGUUACCCAAGACGACCUGAUCGCUGGCGUCGACAACGGCAUCCUGAUCUACGGGCGCGGCAGUUAUUCGAUCGAUCAGCAGCGUUACAACUUCCAGUUCGGAGGCCAGACCUUUUGGGAAAUUAAAGGCGGCAAGGUCGUCGGGAUGCUUCGCGACGUG